GGACGGGUGCGUAACGCGUAUGCAACCUACCCAUAACAGGGGGAUAACACUGAGAAAUUGGUACUAAUACCCCAUAACAUCUCGAGUGGCAUCACUUGGGGUUGAAAGCUUCGGUGGUUAUGGAUGGGCAUGCGUUGUAUUAGCUAGUUGGUGAGGUAACGGCUCGCCAAGGCGACGAUACAUAGGGGGACUGAGAGGUUAACCCCCCACAUUGGUACUGAGACACGGACCAAACUCCUACGGGAGGCAGCAGUGAGGAAUAUUGGUCAAUGGACGGAAGUCUGAACCAGCCAUGCCGCGUGCAGGAUGACGGCUCUAUGAGUUGUAAACUGCUUUUGUACGAGGGUAAACCCGAAUACGUGUAUUCGGCUGAAAGUAUCGUACGAAUAAGGAUCGGCUAACUCCAUGCCAGCAGCCGCGGUAAUACGGAGGAUCCAAGCGUUAUCCGGAUUUAUUGGGUUUAAAGGGUGCGUAGGCGGUCAGAUAAGUUAGAGGUGAAAUUCCGGUGCUUAACACCGGCGCUGCCUCUAAUACUGUUUGACUAGAGAGUAGUUGCGGUAGGCGGAAUGUAUGGUGUAGCGGUGAAAUGCUUAGAGAUCAUACAGAACACCGAUUGCGAAGGCAGCUUACCAAGCUAUAUCUGACGUUGAGGCACGAAAGCGUGGGGAGCAAACAGGAUUAGAUACCCUGGUAGUCCACGCA
Molecule: ribosomal RNA, 702 nt
Filed under: uncultured bacterium
Lineage: Bacteria
Description: bacterial SSU rRNA
Rfam family: Bacterial small subunit ribosomal RNA
Source: RNAcentral